This 202-nucleotide long non-coding RNA is filed under the name Olea europaea (common olive). RNAcentral's name for it is "long non-coding RNA (OEUR_LNC008898)". The record is from RNAcentral. Lineage: Eukaryota; Viridiplantae; Streptophyta; Magnoliopsida; Lamiales; Oleaceae.
UUGAAGAUUAAGGAAAACCUUGUACAAGGGGCCAAGAUUGGCAAAGUGUAGAAAGCCUUGUUGAAUGGAACAGCUGAUAUCGAGGAAAACCUAAUUCUAGCAAAAGUAGCUAAUAUCCUAAGAAUGCUGAGCAAAGUCCUAAGAAUACACGGAAAUACUUUCCACUUUUUCAAGUAGAUGUCUGGUGGCAAUUAGACCAAUU